RNAcentral lists this long non-coding RNA (220 nucleotides) under Ananas comosus (pineapple). RNAcentral describes it as "long non-coding RNA (ACOM_LNC000463)". The record is from RNAcentral. Lineage: Eukaryota; Viridiplantae; Streptophyta; Magnoliopsida; Poales; Bromeliaceae.
AAUCAACGCCUGAUGACGAAAUUGGCCAAUUUAAUAUUUAUGUAAGUUUAGGAGGCAUUAAAUUUAUUUAAAAUGGGCAAUUUCAGCAGUACCGCUGUCAAACUUGUAAAUUUCGUAAAUACCCCUCUAAACUUCAAAGUAUCAUAAAUAUCCCUUCAAACACAUAAAAUUUUCAUAACUGUCCUUGCCGUUAACGGUGAGUCACUUUACCCAGGUUAAU